UACGAAGGGGGCUAGCGUUGUUCGGAAUUACUGGGCGUAAAGCGCGCGCAGGCGGCUAUCCAAGUCAGUGGUGAAAGCCCGGAGCUCAACUCCGGAACUGCCAUUGAAACUGUUUAGCUUGAGGACGAGAGAGGUGAGUGGAAUUCCCAGUGUAGAGGUGAAAUGCGCAGAUAUCAGGAGGAACACCAAUGGCGAAGGCAGCUCACUGGGACGGUACUGACGCUGAGACGCGAAAGCGUGGGGAGCAAACAGG
This 253-nucleotide ribosomal RNA is filed under the name uncultured bacterium. RNAcentral's name for it is "partial 16S ribosomal RNA". It matches the Rfam family "Bacterial small subunit ribosomal RNA", at positions 524 to 776 of the family's 1533-position model. The record is from RNAcentral.